CAAUGCAUCAACUAGGAAGAAGGAGGAAUGCCAAAUCAACAGGACAUAAAAAUGGUUUGAAAAAGUGUUGUGCCAUACAAUUGGGCUGGCUUAACUGCACUGGCCAAACAAGGUACAAACAUUAGUCAGAGCUCAGAGUGGUGGGGGCACAAGGCAUUUUCAAAUUGAUAAAGCCAUAACAGUUGGGGAACUAUUGAAUGUGGCAACAGCCACAUUUUUCCUGGGAGGAAUUUCAAAGCUUGGACAAUUAUGUAAUUUCAGUUAUGAAAUAUAAGACUUUAAAGGUGAUAGCAUAGAAAAAAAGAAAAAUAUAGAAGAUCUGUACAAAGACAGUCGGUUGAAAGUGUUACGUUUGUAUUUGUACACACGGCCAAGAGAACAAACUUCUGAAACGAGAUCAGAGACAAAAUGUUCAGAAUCAUCUGAAGAUGAGUUGUCUAGUCUAUCAUCUGUGUAUGAAUUGAGUAGCAGUAGGAUGACAACCGUUGGAGCUUCCUCUUCACCAAAUGUGUCAACACAAGAAACACAUUUGAGCAACACAAGCUCCAGUCAAGAAUUGGUUUCUCCAGAUCCAGAUCCACAGUUACCAGACAUUACCCCCAGAGACGUCUACUUCAGCUGCAAAGGCGACCUUCAUUGAAACAGGCACACCUACAGUGCUGUUCAGACAAAG
Molecule: long non-coding RNA, 673 nt
Organism: Dreissena polymorpha
Lineage: Eukaryota; Metazoa; Mollusca; Bivalvia; Myida; Dreissenidae
Exons: 3
Source: RefSeq, a predicted model, not a curated record